UACAGAGGGUGCAAGCGUUGUUCGGAAUUAUUGGGCGUAAAGCGCGUGUAGGCGGCUUGGCAAGUCGGGUGUGAAAGCCCUCAGCUCAACUGAGGAAGUGCGCCCGAAACUGCUAUGCUUGAGUGCCGGAGAGGGUGGCGGAAUUCCCCAAGUAGAGGUGAAAUUCGUAGAUAUGGGGAGGAACACCGGUGGCGAAGGCGGCCACCUGGACGGUGACUGACGCUGAGACGCGAAAGCGUGGGGAGCAAACAGG
Molecule: ribosomal RNA, 253 nt
Filed under: uncultured bacterium
Lineage: Bacteria
Description: partial 16S ribosomal RNA
Rfam family: Bacterial small subunit ribosomal RNA
Source: RNAcentral